AGCAGCCGCGGUAAUACGUAGGGUGCAAGCGUUAAUCGGAAUUACUGGGCGUAAAGCGUGCGCAGGCGGUGAUGUAAGACAGAUGUGAAAUCCCCGGGCUCAACCUGGGAACUGCAUUUGUGACUGCAUCGCUGGAGUGCGGCAGAGGGGGAUGGAAUUCCGCGUGUAGCAGUGAAAUGCGUAGAUAUGCGGAGGAACACCGAUGGCGAAGGCAAUCCCCUGGGCCUGCACUGACGCUCAUGCACGAAAGCGUGGGGAGCAAACAGGAUUAGAUACCCUG
Molecule: ribosomal RNA, 280 nt
Filed under: uncultured bacterium
Lineage: Bacteria
Description: partial 16S ribosomal RNA
Rfam family: Bacterial small subunit ribosomal RNA
Source: RNAcentral